GAUGAACGCUAGCUACAGGCUUAACACAUGCAAGUCGCGGGGCAGCAUGGGGGUUGCUUGCCAUCCCCGAUGGCGACCGGCGCACGGGUGAGUAACGCGUAUCCAACCUGCCCUUCACCACGGGAUAACCCGGCGAAAGUCGGACUAAUACCGUAUGUUGUCCAUUGACGGCAUCCGAUUUGGACGAAAGGCUUGGCGGUGAGGGAUGGGGAUGCGUCCGAUUAGCCAGACGGCGGGGUAACGGCCCACCGUGGCUACGAUCGGUAGGGGUUCUGAGAGGAAGGUCCCCCACACUGGAACUGAGGCACGGUCCAGACUCCUACGGGAGGCAGCAGUGAGGAAUAUUGGGCAAUGGGCGUAAGCCUGAACCAGCCAAGUAGCGUGCAGGAGGACGGCCCUAUGGGUUGUAAACUGCUUUUAUGCGGGGAUAAAGUGGCCCACGUGUGGGCUUUUGCAGGUACCGCAUGAAUAAGGACCGGCUAAUUCCGUG
This 490-nucleotide ribosomal RNA is filed under the name uncultured bacterium. Its description in RNAcentral is "partial 16S ribosomal RNA". It matches the Rfam family "Bacterial small subunit ribosomal RNA", at positions 28 to 507 of the family's 1533-position model. The record is from RNAcentral.